Molecule: ribosomal RNA, 509 nt
Filed under: uncultured bacterium
Lineage: Bacteria
Description: partial 16S ribosomal RNA
Rfam family: Bacterial small subunit ribosomal RNA
Source: RNAcentral
GACGAACGCUGGCGGCGCGCUUAAUACAUGCAAGUCGAGCGAGAACUAGGGCUUCGGCCCUGGGGACAGCGGCGAACGGGUGAGUAACAUGUGGGUAAUCAACCCCCGACACCGGGAUAGCCCAGGGAAACUUGGAUUAAUACCGGAUGCCCCAUCUGGCUUUCGAGCCGGCUGGAAAAGGGUAGCUUCGGCCUCCGGUCGGGGACGAGCCCGCGGCGGAUUAGCUUGUUGGUGAGGUAAAGGCUCACCAAGGCGACGAUCCGUAGCUGGUCUGAGAGGACGAUCAGCCACACUGGGACUGAGACACGGCCCAGACUCCUACGGGAGGCAGCAGUAGGGAAUCUUGCGCAAUGGGCGAAAGCCUGACGCAGCGACGCCGCGUGAGGGAAGAAGGCCUUCGGGUUGUAAACCUCUUUCAGGAGGGACGAAGCCACUCGGGUUAAUAGCCUAGAGGGUGACGGUACCUCCAGAAGAAGCCCCGGCUAACUACGUGCCAGCCGCCGCGGUAA